RNAcentral lists this ribosomal RNA (306 nucleotides) under Triticum aestivum (bread wheat). RNAcentral's name for it is "partial small subunit ribosomal RNA". The record is from RNAcentral. Lineage: Eukaryota; Viridiplantae; Streptophyta; Magnoliopsida; Poales; Poaceae.
AUGCUUGCUUUGCAUAAUGAAUGCCUUACCCGCUGCUAUCUUCUUCACCGCAUCCAUCUCCUGGAGGGCCUUGUGGGCUUCAGCCUUGGUGCUCCGUCCGCUUUCGAGUGCCUUCUCAAGCUCGGACUCUCACGUCUUAGAGUCAAGCUCCAUGGACUCAUGUUUUUUGGCGAGAGCCUCGAACUCUUGCUGCACCUUGCCUACCCGGGCUUAUUGCUUUUCUCGCUCAAUGCUCUCCUUGGACGCUUUGUCUUCGGCCUCGGACAGCGCCUUCUUCAGGGUCGCCACCUCAGUUGUGUCCCCUGA